CAAGGAGUAGUUUAAUUAGAAUUUCAGCUUUGGGUGCUGAUGGUGGGGCUUGGAGCCUCCUCCUUGA
Molecule: transfer RNA, 67 nt
Filed under: Molossus molossus (Pallas's mastiff bat)
Lineage: Eukaryota; Metazoa; Chordata; Mammalia; Chiroptera; Molossidae
Rfam family: tRNA
About the family: Transfer RNA (tRNA) molecules are approximately 80 nucleotides in length. Their secondary structure includes four short double-helical elements and three loops (D, anti-codon, and T loops).
Source: Rfam by way of RNAcentral